This is a long non-coding RNA of Panicum virgatum (switchgrass), 2222 nucleotides long. RefSeq lists it as uncharacterized. The transcript has 5 exons. Lineage: Eukaryota; Viridiplantae; Streptophyta; Magnoliopsida; Poales; Poaceae. The record is from RefSeq and is a predicted model, not a curated record.
UGGCCGGCCGCGCAGGAUCGCCCCGUCCCAUGGUCCCGCACAUGGCUUGGGGUCGGCGCGCACGGAUCCGCCUGCGGAGCAUGGGCCUGGCGCGGCUUCGGCAGCCCCCGCUGCCCAGGGAUGGCCACUACCCAUGCCUCUCUGCCUGGCCUCGCUCCAGCCCCGGCCAGCGCGACCGCCUCCACGCGCGACCUACCCUCCUCGCCCACCACCUGCUCGACGAGUUGCCUCCCCUUCCCCAAACCACUUGCGUGUGCACUCGCAGAACAAGACAAGGCGCACAUGAAUCGCAAGUUGCUGCUUCUCUCGAUCAGCUUUGAUGGAGGUUACCAGAGUUUGUGCCUGCCAAGGUGUUGGAUGUUGGUGCCAAGCCAAGCUCAUCGCUUUGGUAAGCAUGUCAUGAUUUACAUAUGUUAGUACUGAAUACCAAUUUGCAUAAGCUUAAUAUGCUAUGAGAAUGCAGGGCCUAAUUGGAUUGCUAUUCUAAGCUAUUGUCAAAGAUGUUGGGCAGCUACGGCCUCAACAUCGUAACAUACACUAUAUGGCAAGCGACCUUUCACCUUUGGUAUCGAUGCUGCCACAUAUGAUGUUUAAUAAACUGCUCUGUUCUGUCAAAUGGCAGAACCGUUAGCCAUGAAUUUGCCCUGUUGAUAAACUUUGAUGUUCCAUUACUACAACAGCCUUGCUUCUCUAUGUGCAGAGUGAGAUGCUGUAUGUGCAGAGUGAGAUGCUGCAGGAGUUCAAAUAUUUUGAAGUUCAAGUGGCAAGUGCAGAGCUCGCAGGUAUUGUUCAAAGCUAAACAGUGACCAAAUAUUUUGAAGUUCAAGUGGCAAGUGCAGAGCUCGCAGGUAUUAGUAGUUGCUGAAUUUUCAUUGAAACUCAACCGGGAGCUUGUGUGUCCCACAUAAACUGUUGCUGGCUUUCCAUUGAGCUUGAUUGCAUAACUUUAUUUACCAUUAUUUCUGCUGAAGACACUUAAUAUUGGUUUCUCUCUGGAUUGUUUUAUAAUGUUCCAUUUCAGCACUACUGUAUUAAAGGUUUAUGCAACCCUGUUUAUUGAUGCUGUUCAUUUCCAAGAUAGGCCCUCAAAGUUUUUUUUUCAACGCCUCAAGCCUUCAAGUACAAGCUGUGGGAAUGGGGAUUAUGGGUUCAUACGAUCACUUGACUCCCAUUUAAAUUUCUUUUUUUUCGUUUGUCAGGUAUCAGAAUAUGACGGGUUGCUAUAUCUCGAUCAUUUGGCUGCCUUAAUUUAUACUGCAUCUGGUACAUUUUUUAUUGCUUAUUAACACUAGGCCUUUUCUCAUGAGAUAAGGCCAGUGACAUGAGUUUACCUAUAAAAAAUUAUCCACAUAUCGCCAAGUGACAUUGUUAGUUCAGGCAUAUCAUAUUUACUACCUAUCUUGCAUCAGUUACUGCACUCUUUCUUGAAUCAGCAUACAUCCAUCUGCAAUGUCAGUGUCGAAACUCUGUAAGGCUUCCAGCCAUUUUGUGGAAGUAUUUUCUUUUUUUUCCCUUCCACUGCUGCUUCUAGGAGGAGAAGAAGAAGUCUCAUUCGCUUCUAAAGUGAUUCGAUCAGAGAGUCUGCAAGAACCAGUGCUAUAGCUCUAGAAACAAAAUUCAUAUUGGUCUCAACCAUACUAACUGGAGUAUAUCUGCAAACCUUUGGCUUGCUAAUGAGAUUCAAGGGUCCAUUCAUGGUGGACAGCCUCAGCUUUGGUUGCCCAGGUCUUGAAAGCUUAGGUUUUAUCAUGUUGCACAGUUGGUCCAUUCAAUAUAUAGACUGGUCAUGCCCUAAACCCUGAUUUCUUUUCUCUCCUUGCUUUACAGUGGGACAUUGCCUCUUCGAAUAAGGACCAUAUUGGAGCUAUUCUAUUCCUCUGGGAGCACCAAAUCAUUCCUGCUGAAAUAGAAGAUGAAUGAAGAAUGAAUAAUCCACCCACCUUUCAUGGCUUUGCAUACUCUAGAGAAACUUCAGAUGAUGACGACCCCAAUGACGCCUACUAUUAUGCAGCCCCUCAAGUAACACGGCAAGACAUCGAGACGACCUGCCCAUGUCAAGCAAGUAGAAAAAAAACAAUGUCAUUCCCAAGACCCCAACUCAUCUUCUGUUUCUGCGUCUCUAUGUAUGCAUGUUUGUAUAACUAUGAACGUGUGUAUAUCAGAUAUCUGCAACUGAGCUCGCAUGUCAAUGAAAAUAAUGUAGAAAUUGUUAAUUUAUACUA